GGUAACAGCUCAAAUUUGAAAUCUGGGUCUUUCAGGCUCCGAGUUGUAAUUUGUAGAAGAUGCUUCGGGUGCGGCUCCGGUCUAAGUUCCUUGGAACAGGACGUCAUAGAGGGUGAGAAUCCCGUAUGUGAUCGGUUGCUUGCGCCCAUGUGAAGCUCUUUCGACGAGUCGAGUUGUUUGGGAAUGCAGCUCAAAAUGGGUGGUAAAUUUCAUCUAAAGCUAAAUAUUGGCCAGAGACCGAUAGCGCACAAGUAGAGUGAUCGAAAGAUGAAAAGCACUUUGGAAAGAGAGUUAAACAGUACGUGAAAUUGUUGAAAGGGAAGCGCUUGCAACCAGACUUGCGCGUUGCCGAUCAUCCGGGGUUCUCCCCGGUGCACUCGGCCUCGCUCAGGCCAGCAUCGGUUUUGGUGGUGGGAUAAAGGCCUUGGGAAUGUAGCUCCUUUCGGGGAGUGUUAUAGCCCUCGGUGCAAUGCCGCCUACCGGGACCGAGGACCGCGCUUCGGCUAGGAUGCUGGCGUAAUGGUUGUAAGCGAC
RNAcentral lists this ribosomal RNA (534 nucleotides) under uncultured fungus. RNAcentral describes it as "eukaryotic LSU rRNA". It matches the Rfam family "Eukaryotic large subunit ribosomal RNA", at positions 100 to 648 of the family's 3401-position model. The record is from RNAcentral. Lineage: Eukaryota; Fungi.